UAGGGAAUCUUCGGCAAUGGGGGGAACCCUGACCGAGCAACGCCGCGUGAGUGAAGAAGGUUUUCGGAUCGUAAAGCUCUGUUGUUAAGGAAGAACGAGUGUGAGAAUGGAAAGUUCAUGCUGUGACGGUACUUAACCAGAAAGGGACGGCUAACUACGUGCCAGCAGCCGCGGUAAUACGUAGGUCCCGAGCGUUGUCCGGAUUUAUUGGGCGUAAAGCGAGCGCAGGCGGUUAGAAAAGUCUGAAGUGAAAGGCAGUGGCUCAACCAUUGUAGGCUUUGGAACUGUUUAACUUGAGUGCAGAAGGGGAGAGUGGAAUUCCAUGUGUAGCGGUGAAAUGCGUAGAUAUAUGGAGGAACACCGGUGGCGAAAGCGGCUCUCUGGUCUGUAACUGACGCUGAGGCUCGAAAGCGUGGGGAGCGAACAGG
This 428-nucleotide ribosomal RNA is filed under the name Bacteroidota bacterium. RNAcentral describes it as "Bacteroidetes bacterium partial 16S ribosomal RNA". It matches the Rfam family "Bacterial small subunit ribosomal RNA", at positions 355 to 776 of the family's 1533-position model. Lineage: Bacteria; Pseudomonadati; Bacteroidota. The record is from RNAcentral.